RNAcentral lists this ribosomal RNA (253 nucleotides) under uncultured bacterium. RNAcentral's name for it is "partial 16S ribosomal RNA". It matches the Rfam family "Bacterial small subunit ribosomal RNA", at positions 524 to 776 of the family's 1533-position model. The record is from RNAcentral.
UACGAAGGGGGCGAGCGUUGUUCGGAUUUACUGGGCGUAAAGGGCGCGCAGGCGGCGAUUUUUGUCAGGCGUGAAAGCCCCGGGCUCAACCUGGGAACUGCGCUUGAAACGGGAUUGCUAGAGAUCGGGAGAGGAGAGUGGAAUUCCCAGUGUAGAGGUGAAAUUCGUAGAUAUUGGGAAGAACACCGGUGGCGAAGGCGGCUCUCUGGACCGAUACUGACGCUGAGGCGCGAAAGCGUGGGGAGCGAACAGG